GGGCAUGUGGUGUAGUUGGUUAUCACGCUCGCUUAGCAUUUAUACCGUGCUUGCGAGAGGGGUCCGGUUCAAUCCCGGACAUGUCCA
This is a non-coding RNA of Lentinus tigrinus ALCF2SS1-7, 87 nucleotides long. Lineage: Eukaryota; Fungi; Basidiomycota; Agaricomycetes; Polyporales; Polyporaceae. The record is from the annotation of a GenBank genome assembly.